UACAGAGGUCCCAAGCGUUGUUCGGAUUCAUUGGGCGUAAAGGGUGCGCAGGCGGCGAGGCAAGUCGGACGUGAAAUCCCGGGGCUUAACCCCGGAACUGCGUUCGAUACUGCUUUGCUUGAGGACUGGAGAGGAGACUGGAAUUCCUGGUGUAGCAGUGAAAUGCGUAGAUAUCAGGAGGAACGCCAAUGGCGAAGGCAAGUCUCUGGACAGUUCCUGACGCUCAUGCACGAAGGCCAGGGGAGCAAACGGG
RNAcentral lists this ribosomal RNA (253 nucleotides) under uncultured bacterium. Its description in RNAcentral is "partial 16S ribosomal RNA". It matches the Rfam family "Bacterial small subunit ribosomal RNA", at positions 524 to 776 of the family's 1533-position model. The record is from RNAcentral.